AGAGUUUGAUCCUGGCUCAGGAUGAACGCUAGCGGCAGGCUUAACACAUGCAAGUCGAGGGGCAGCACGGGUAGCAAUACCUGGUGGCGACCGGCGCAAGGGUGCGUAACGCGUGAGCAACAUGCCCUAUACAGGGGGAUAAACCAGGGAAACUUGGACUAAUACCCCAUAGCAUUUAUUUAUGGCAUCAUGAAUAAAUUAAAGCUUCGGUGGUAUAGGAUUGGCUCGCGUGACAUUAGCUAGAUGGUGAGGUAACGGCUCACCAUGGCGAUGAUGUCUAGGGGUUCUGAGAGGAAGGCCCCCCACACUGGGACUGAGACACGGCCCAGACUCCUACGGGAGGCAGCAGUGAGGAAUAUUGGACAAUGGAUGGAAAUCUGAUCCAGCCAUGCCGCGUGCAGGAAGACGGCCCUAUGGGUUGUAAACUGCUUUUAUACGGGAGCAAUAAGGUCUACGUGUAGACUGAUGAGAGUACCGUAUGAAUAAGCAUCGGCUAACUCCGUGCCAGCAGCCGCGGUAAUACGGAGGAUGCGAGCGUUAUCCGGAUUUAUUGGGUUUAAAGGGUGCGUAGGCGGCCUUGUAAGUCAGCGGUGAAAUUUUGCAGCUUAACUGUAAAAGUGCCGUUGAUACUGUGAGGCUAGGAUUUGGUUGCUGUGGGUGGAAUGUGUGGUGUAGCGGUGAAAUGCUUAGAGAUCACACAGAAUAUCGAUUGCGAAGGCAGCUCACAAAGCCAAGAUUGACGCUGAGGCACGAAAGUGUGGGGAUCAAACAGGAUUAGAUACCCUGGUAGUCCACACUGUAAACGAUGAUAACUCGCUGUCGGCGAUAUACAGUCGGUGGCCAAGCGAAAGCGAUAAGUUAUCCACCUGGGGAGUACGACCGCAAGGUUGAAACUCAAAGGAAUUGACGGGGGCCCGCACAAGCGGAGGAACAUGUGGUUUAAUUCGAU
Molecule: ribosomal RNA, 949 nt
Filed under: anaerobic digester metagenome
Description: bacterial SSU rRNA
Rfam family: Bacterial small subunit ribosomal RNA
Source: RNAcentral